Molecule: long non-coding RNA, 1121 nt
Filed under: Elaeis guineensis (African oil palm)
Lineage: Eukaryota; Viridiplantae; Streptophyta; Magnoliopsida; Arecales; Arecaceae
Description: long non-coding RNA (EGUI_LNC043840)
Source: RNAcentral
CCUCUACCUUUCCAUCGACUCUAUAUAAAAUCACUAGAGCCUAUAGCUUAACUAAAAGAAAAAGAAAUUGUAAGGAUAAUAUUGAGCAAUUUUGACAUGCCUACUCUAGGCAUGUCUUUGUUUCUUUAAGCUCUCCAGGUACUUACCUCUGAACUCUUUUAAGGUUCCUUUGUUAGCAAUAAUUUGAUCAAUUUAGAUAAGAUGCAAAAAUGAUCAUUUAUAUGGUAGUUUACCAUAAAUUAUCCAUAUAAACUAAUUAGAGAUCGCAGGAUCAAAUCUAUAAGUAAUUUCUUGUGCAUGGUCAUAUCGAGCUUUUUAAGCUCCUUAAUAUCUUUGAUCAUUAUCAAAUAACAAUCAUAGACUGUCUGCCCAUCAUGCAUCACAUGCACUGUGCGACUCUGAUCACCUCACAAUACUUGUAGAUGAAUCAAUGUAUCGUUGGCAGUAAACAUGUGCUUAUGCAUAUGCUGGAGUUUAUCUAUCAUGGACUUCAACAUAUAGCACCUAUCUUUAUUGUCAUUGUCCAUCCAUUCAUCAAGUAUAGCUCAUUGACUUUGGGUUAGACAGGUUAUUAACAUCAGAAUAAUCCUGCUAGAGAAUAUUACUUAAUUUCUAAAAUUAAGAAUGAUUCUUAAGUUUGUGAGCUAGUCUAUAUAAUUGAUUUUGAUUAAUCGGUUGAUAUCUAGGAUUUGAGCUAGAGGGUUAGAAGCCGACACAAUAAACAGCAGAGAAUAAAGAUUUUAAUUGAAUAUUUAUACUUAUUUUUUAUAAUUUAUUUUAGAGAUUUUUAGAUACAAAAAGAGACUCCCACUAUUUUAUCAGAUCUCCCACACUCUUUGGGUGGGAAACUAAAAAUCCUAACAUGAUAACUGGAUUUCUAGUGGGUGCUGCGGUCCCACCGAUAUCGUGCACUUCACCUAACAGUUAUUGGUAAUAUAAAUGAACAUCGAUGCGUGGAUAACUCUUUAUCCAGAUGCUUCUCUAAGCAUGUUGUAGCAACUUGGUCUCUAAGUCAUGUGAGCUCACCUAUCAGUUAUUGUCCAUAUUUCUUAGUUAAGUCAGACUCACCAUUCACAAGCAGGUGUAAAGCUGUCAUUGGAUCGCUCACCUAAUAGUUAUUG